UGUGGGUAGGGGUGAAAGGCCAAUCAAACUCGGAAAUAGCUCGUACUCCCCGAAAUGCAUUUAGGUGCAGCGUUGAUAUAGAGUCUUAUAGAGGUAGAGCUACUGAUUGGGCUAGGGGGCUUCACCGCCUACCAAACCCUGACAAACUCCGAAUGCUAUAAGAUAUGAUCAGCAGUGAGGGCAUGGGUGCUAAGGUCCAUGUCCGAAAGGGAAAGAACCCAGAUCAUCAGCUAAGGUCCCCAAAUGUGUGUUAAGUUGACAAAACGCGGUCAGAUUGCAUAGACAGCUAGGAUGUUGGCUUGGAAGCAGCCAUUCAUUUAAAGA
This 324-nucleotide ribosomal RNA is filed under the name Thalassiosira antarctica. Its description in RNAcentral is "partial Bacterial large subunit ribosomal RNA". It matches the Rfam family "Bacterial large subunit ribosomal RNA", at positions 810 to 1129 of the family's 2925-position model. The record is from RNAcentral. Lineage: Eukaryota; Bacillariophyta; Thalassiosirophyceae; Thalassiosirales; Thalassiosiraceae.